Molecule: ribosomal RNA, 801 nt
Filed under: uncultured Robiginitalea sp.
Lineage: Bacteria; Pseudomonadati; Bacteroidota; Flavobacteriia; Flavobacteriales; Flavobacteriaceae
Description: bacterial SSU rRNA
Rfam family: Bacterial small subunit ribosomal RNA
Source: RNAcentral
GCUACCAUGCAGUCGACGGUAACAUAGAGAAGCUUGCUUUUCUGAUGACGAGUGGCGCACGGGUGCGUAACGCGUAUAGAACCUACCCUUUACAGGGGGAUAGCCCGGAGAAAUUCGGAUUAAUACCCCAUAGUACUAUUUAGAGGCAUCUUUAGAUGGUUAAAGAGAUUCGGUAAAGGAUGGCUAUGCGUCCUAUUAGUUGGUAGGUGAGGUAACGGCUCACCUAGACUUCGAUAGGUAGGGGCCCUGAGAGGGGGAUCCCCCACACUGGUACUGAGACACGGACCAGACUCCUACGGGAGGCAGCAGUGAGGAAUAUUGGACAAUGGUCGGGAGACUGAUCCAGCCAUGCCGCGUGCAGGAAGACUGCCCUAUGGGUUGUAAACUGCUUUUUUACGGGAAGAAUAAUACCCACGUGUGGGUAGAUGACGGUACCGUACGAAUAAGGACCGGCUAACUCCGUGCCAGCAGCCGCGGUAAUACGGAGGGUCCGAGCGUUAUCCGGAAUUAUUGGGUUUAAAGGGUCCGCAGGCGGGCCAGUAAGUCAGGGGUGAAAGUUUGCGGCUUAACCGUAAAAUUGCCUUUGAUACUGCUGGUCUUGAGUUGCGGUGAAGUGGCCGGAAUAUGUGGUGUAGCGGUGAAAUGCAUAGAUAUCACAUAGAACACCGAUUGCGAAGGCAGGUCACUAACCGCCGACUGACGCUGAUGGACGAAAGCGUGGGGAGCGAACGGGAUUAGAUACCCCGGUAGUCCACGCCGUAAACGAUGGACACUAGCUGUGCUACCAUGCGCUACCAUGCG